UAUUUAUCUCGAAAUUUUAGAGUUACAUUAAUUUAUUAAAAAUAUAAUAAAAUUUUAAUUAAAUUUAAUGUAGUAAUUAUAUGUUAAUCGAUUAAAAUAAUAUCUAGUUUUUUUUGAAUAAAUUAAAUUUUUAUUAAUUUAAAUAAUUAAAUUAAAUUAAUUUAAUUAAUUAAGGCUUAGCUUAAUUAAUUUAUUAAAUUAUAAAAAAAAAUAAAUUAAAAUAAAUAGGAAUAAUAUUUUUCAUUUUUAUUUAAUUUAUUAUAAAAAUAAUUUUUAUUAAUAUAAAUUUUUUUUAUAUAAUUAAAUUUUUUAAAAAAAUUUAUUUUAUAAUAAGUUAAAAAUAUUUAUAAUGAUUAAAUUAGUAAAUUUUAAAUUUAUUAAUAAAAUUAAUAAAAAAAAUUAUUUUUAUGAAUUCGGCAAAAUUAUUUUCACCUGUUUAAUAAAAACAUGGUUAAUUGAAUUGAAUAAUUAAUUAAACCUGCCCAUUGAGUAAAAUUUAAAGGCUGCAGUAUAUUGACUGUACAAAGGUAGCAUAAUCAAUAGUUUUUUAAUUGAAAACUUGUAUGAAAGGUUUAAUGAAAAAUAAACUUUAUUAGUUUAAAAUAUUAAAUUUUUUAUUUAAGUGAAAAAACUUAAAUUUUUAAAAAAGACGAUAAGACCCUAUAAAAUUUUAUUACUUGUUAAAAUUUAAAAUUUUAAUAAUAAUUUAAUUGGGGUAAUUUAAAAUUUAUUUUUAUUUGUUUGUUCUUAUAAUUAUAAUAUUUAUUGAGCUUAAUUUUAAAUUAAAAGAAUAAAUUGCUUUAGGGAUAACAGCG
Molecule: ribosomal RNA, 815 nt
Filed under: Xenos hamiltoni
Lineage: Eukaryota; Metazoa; Arthropoda; Insecta; Strepsiptera; Xenidae
Description: partial 16S large subunit ribosomal RNA
Source: RNAcentral